GGUGUGGCUCAGCGGUAGAGUGCUUACCUCGUAUGUGUGAGGUGCUGGGUUCGAUCCUCAGCACCA
This 66-nucleotide transfer RNA is filed under the name Marmota monax (woodchuck). Its description in RNAcentral is "tRNA.Thr". It matches the Rfam family "tRNA". From Rfam's summary of the family: Transfer RNA (tRNA) molecules are approximately 80 nucleotides in length. Their secondary structure includes four short double-helical elements and three loops (D, anti-codon, and T loops). The record is from RNAcentral. Lineage: Eukaryota; Metazoa; Chordata; Mammalia; Rodentia; Sciuridae.